UGGGGAAUUUUGGACAAUGGGCGCAAGCCUGACCCAGCAAUGCCGCGUGCAGGAUGAAGGCCUUCGGGUUGUAAACUGCUUUUGUACGGAGCGAAAAGGUCUGCCCUAAUACGGUGGGCUCAUGACGGUACCGUAAGAAUAAGCACCGGCUAACUACGUGCCAGCAGCCGCGGUAAUACGUAGGGUGCAAGCGUUAAUCGGAAUUACUGGACGUAAAGCGUGCGCAGGCGGUUAUGCAAGACAGAGGUGAAAUCCCCGGGCUCAACCUGGGAGCUGCCUUUGUGACUGCAUAGCUGGAGUGCGGUAGAGGGUGAUGGAAUUCCUCGUGUAGCAGUGAAAUGCGUAGUUAUGCGGAGGAACACCGGUGACGAAGGCAAUCCCCUGGACCUGUACUGACGCUCAUGCACGAAAGCGUGAGGAGCAAACA
This 427-nucleotide ribosomal RNA is filed under the name uncultured bacterium. RNAcentral describes it as "bacterial SSU rRNA". It matches the Rfam family "Bacterial small subunit ribosomal RNA", at positions 355 to 774 of the family's 1533-position model. The record is from RNAcentral.